AAGGGGCUUCGGCCCUGAGUAGAGUGGCGAACGGGUGAGUAACACGUGGGUGAUCUACCUUUGAGUGGGGGAUAACGUUCCGAAAGGAGCGCUAAUACCGCAUGACGUUCUGGGUUUGAAGACCUGGAAACCAAAGUCGGGGACCGCAAGGCCUGACGCUUGGAGAGGAGCCCGCGCCUGAUUAGCUAGUUGGUGAGGUAAUGGCUCACCAAGGCGACGAUCAGUAGCCGGCCUGAGAGGGCGGACGGCCACACUGGGACUGAGACACGGCCCAGACUCCUACGGGAGGCAGCAGUGGGGAAUUGUUCGCAAUGGGCGCAAGCCUGACGACGCAACGCCGCGUGGAGGAUGAAGGUCUUCGGA
This 363-nucleotide ribosomal RNA is filed under the name uncultured bacterium. RNAcentral's name for it is "bacterial SSU rRNA". It matches the Rfam family "Bacterial small subunit ribosomal RNA", at positions 72 to 422 of the family's 1533-position model. The record is from RNAcentral.